Long non-coding RNA from Camelus dromedarius (Arabian camel), 1082 nucleotides. RefSeq lists it as uncharacterized. The transcript has 4 exons. The record is from RefSeq and is a predicted model, not a curated record. Lineage: Eukaryota; Metazoa; Chordata; Mammalia; Artiodactyla; Camelidae.
GUGGCAGUCACCAUGGUGACCAGAGCCCGGACUUCCUCGCCCCACCCGCCGGGGUAAGGGGUGAGGGUGUCAGCUCCAGGUAGGGGUGCACUCUGAGUGAGGGGGAUCCCGCGUUGAAGGAGGACAGGCUGAGGGGUGAAGGGGAACGCAUCAGGAUGUGGGGGGUCCUGCGGUGAGGCAUGAGGAGUGUGCUUGGGGUGUGAGGGCCACAGGUGAGUACUAGCAGGGUGGCGUGUGGGGGCGGGGACUUCCUUGUGACAAGAAACCCUGUCUUGGGGGUGCAGUCUGAGACUGGGGGUGGCGGGGCAAGCAAGGGGAGUGGGGCUGGGGUGUGUGGCCUGGCCCAGGGCCGGUGCUGGUUCUGGUUGAGUGCCAGGACCUAGUCCGGUGACGGGGUGGGGUCGCUGGGGAUGGAGACCCGGUGGGGUGGGCAGAGGGGUGGGCGCGCUCUACCGCCCUACCGCCAGGCCCCGCCCGGCCCGGCUGGGCCCACUCGCAGAGAACCAGACAGCGGGAGCCCCACCCCGAGCGUCCGCGCUGCGGGCGGGAGAAGGCGCGGACACGCAGAUGCCGGACCCCGCCCGGCGCGUGUGGAAGCUGGACGGUAGCCGGGCGCCCCUGGACCUGCUCCCGAGGAGGAACGCGGCUUGGGGUCUGGGCCGCCGCUUGCCGUCGCCUCCGCUGCCAUCGCCGGGCAGCAGCGGAAGGUGUUGAGAACAACUUCAGAAAACCUCAGAAACUGCUCAUUUUUCUCUACAAAUGUUGUCUACACCACCCCUGGGACAUGCGUCAACAGGUACAAUGGCACCUUCUGGAAGCCCGCCAGAUGGAGCUGGAGAUGGCAGACCUGCACGUCUCCACCCUGAAGUAUAAGCAGGCUGAGCAAGAGAGCUUCAGGGCAAGCAUUUCACCAGCGCCAUCGCUCCGGCCCUGAUUCCGGCCGCCUUGUUCGGCCUUGCCCAUCUGCUAAUAACCCCGCAGGGUGUGACCGUCCUGCUCCUCCUGGAGUUCUAAGUCUGCUUCCUGGUGUCCUGUGUCUGUACCUGCACGUCACCUGGUCCAGGUACAUGUGUGUGUGUGUG